Non-coding RNA from Myotis lucifugus (little brown bat), 75 nucleotides. The record is from Rfam. NCBI's taxonomy places the organism in Eukaryota, Metazoa, Chordata, Mammalia, Chiroptera, Vespertilionidae.
GGCAGUUCUCAGGUGACACACCCCGGAAUCAGGCUCCCUCCUCUCUAGUUCCAGGUGCAUCACCCAAGAACCACA